Molecule: transfer RNA, 72 nt
Filed under: Deltaproteobacteria bacterium
Lineage: Bacteria; Pseudomonadati; Myxococcota; Myxococcia
Description: tRNA-Asp
Rfam family: tRNA
About the family: Transfer RNA (tRNA) molecules are approximately 80 nucleotides in length.
Source: RNAcentral
GCCCUGUGAUGCGACGGGCGUCGCAGUCCGCUUGUCGAGCGGAUGAGAGGGGUUCGAGUCCCCUACGGGGCG